AAAAUAAAAAAGAAAAAAUGAAAGCCCACGAUGAAACUAGGGCAUGCAAGUAAAAUGCUUUCUUCAAACUAUAAUUUUACUCAUCUCAUUUUGCAAUAUUUAUCUGUCUUCACCAAGAAGCUUCUGGCCGCAAUGCACGCAGUUGCUUGAAUCUGAACAAGAGCUUAAGGAAUCGAGCUGAACUUCUUUGCAUGUUUUGACCAAGUAUGAAAGACAACAUGCCGUGUGGUAUGUGAUAUUCAUGCCGUGUGGUACUGAUAGACUAAGAAGAUAAUAAGUUGAAGUGGAUGGGCAACUGCAACUUGGCAAGUCUCUCAAGUUCAAACUAGUCACUCUAAACAAUGACGGGUUACCCUGUUCUCCUACUCUCUUUUUCUUCUAUUAUGUAGUUUGUUUUCAUGAUGUAUGAAAAUAUGUAUCUAUGGUUUCAACUAUUCCCAAGGCUUUUGUGGGAUAUCUUAUACAUUAUUUUUAAAUAAAAAGCUAUUUUCAUGCAA
Cryptomeria japonica (Japanese cedar) is the source of this 497-nucleotide long non-coding RNA. RefSeq lists it as uncharacterized. The record is from RefSeq and is a predicted model, not a curated record. The transcript is spliced from 2 exons. NCBI's taxonomy places the organism in Eukaryota, Viridiplantae, Streptophyta, Pinopsida, Cupressales, Cupressaceae.